AAAUUGAAGAGUUUGAUCAUGGCUCAGAUUGAACGCUGGCGGCAGGCCUAACACAUGCAAGUCGAACGGUAACAGGAAGCAGCUUGCUGCUUUGCUGACGAGUGGCGGACGGGUGAGUAAUGUCUGGGAAACUGCCUGGUGGAGGGGGAUAACUACUGGAAACGGUAGCUAAUACCGCAUAACGUCGCAAGACCAAAGAGGGGGACCUUCGGGCCUCUUGCCAUCGGAUGUGCCCAGAUGGGAUUAGCUAGUAGGUGGGGUAACGGCUCACCUAGGCGACGAUCCCUAGCUGGUCUGAGAGGAUGACCAGCCACACUGGAACUGAGACACGGUCCAGACUCCUACGGGAGGCAGCAGUGGGGAAUAUUGCACAAUGGGCGCAAGCCUGAUGCAGCCAUGCCGCGUGUAUGAAGAAGGCCUUCGGGUUGUAAAGUACUUUCAGCGGGGAGGAAGGGAGUAAAGUUAAUACCUUUGCUCAUUGACGUUACCCGCAGAAGAAGCACCGGCUAACUCCGUGCCAGCAGCCGCGGUAAUACGGAGGGUGCAAGCGUUAAUCGGAAUUACUGGGCGUAAAGCGCACGCAGGCGGUUUGUUAAGUCAGAUGUGAAAUCCCCGGGCUCAAC
RNAcentral lists this ribosomal RNA (623 nucleotides) under Escherichia coli. Its description in RNAcentral is "bacterial SSU rRNA". It matches the Rfam family "Bacterial small subunit ribosomal RNA", at positions 1 to 613 of the family's 1533-position model. Lineage: Bacteria; Pseudomonadati; Pseudomonadota; Gammaproteobacteria; Enterobacterales; Enterobacteriaceae. The record is from RNAcentral.